UACGUAGGGUGCGAGCGUUGUCCGGAAUUAUUGGGCGUAAAGAGCUCGUAGGCGGUCUGUCGCGUCUGCUGUGAAAUCCCGAGGCUCAACCUCGGGCCUGCAGUGGGUACGGGCAGACUAGAGUGUGGUAGGGGAGACUGGAAUUCCUGGUGUAGCGGUGAAAUGCGCAGAUAUCAGGAGGAACACCGGUGGCGAAGGCGGGUCUCUGGGCCAUAACUGACGCUGAGGAGCGAAAGCGUGGGGAGCGAACAGG
This 253-nucleotide ribosomal RNA is filed under the name uncultured bacterium. RNAcentral's name for it is "partial 16S ribosomal RNA". It matches the Rfam family "Bacterial small subunit ribosomal RNA", at positions 524 to 776 of the family's 1533-position model. The record is from RNAcentral.